Molecule: ribosomal RNA, 512 nt
Filed under: uncultured bacterium
Lineage: Bacteria
Description: bacterial SSU rRNA
Rfam family: Bacterial small subunit ribosomal RNA
Source: RNAcentral
AAUCAACGCUGGCGGCGUGCCUCAGACAUGCAAGUCGAACGAGAAAGUCCCCUUCGGGGGAUGAGUAAAGUGGCGCACGGGUGAGUAACACGUAGGUAAUCUACCUUCGGGUGGGGAAUAACCCAGGGAAACUUGGGCUAACACCGCAUAAUGCAGCGGUACCACAUGGUGACAGUUGUUAAAGCGGGGGAUUUUAGGACCUCGCGCCUGAAGAGGAGCCUGCGGCGGAUUAGCUAGNGGUGAGGUAACGGCUCACCAAGGUAACGAUCCGUAGCCGGCCUGAGAGGGCGGUCGGCCACACUGACGCUGACAUACGGGUCAGACUCCUACGGGAGGCAGCAGUCGGGAAUUUGGGCAAUGGGCGAAAGCCUGACCCAGCAACGCCGCGUGAAGGAUGAAAUCCCUCGGGAUGUAAACUUCGUAAGAAUAGGAAGAAUAAGUGUAGGAUAAUACCUGCACUGAUGACGGUACUAUUCGUAAGCUCCGGCUAACUCCGUGCCAGCCGCCGCAGU